RNAcentral lists this ribosomal RNA (594 nucleotides) under uncultured bacterium. Its description in RNAcentral is "partial 16S ribosomal RNA". It matches the Rfam family "Bacterial small subunit ribosomal RNA", at positions 354 to 938 of the family's 1533-position model. The record is from RNAcentral.
UGGGGGAAUUUUGGACAAUGGGGGGAAACCCUGAUCCAGCCAUCCCGCGUGUGCGAUGAAGGCCUUCGGGUUGUAAAGCACUUUUGGCAGGAAAGAAACGUCGCGGGUUAAUACCCCGCGAACUGACGGUACCUGCAGAAUAAGCACCGGCUAACUACGUGCCAGCAGCCGCGGUAAUACGUAGGGUGCAAGCGUUAAUCGGAAUUACUGGGCGUAAAGCGUGCGCAGGCGGUUCGGAAAGAAAGAUGUGAAAUCCCAGAGCUUAACUUUGGAACUGCAUUUUUAACUACCGGGCUAGAGUGUGUCAGAGGGAGGUGGAAUUCCGCGUGUAGCAGUGAAAUGCGUAGAUAUGCGGAGGAACACCGAUGGCGAAGGCAGCCUCCUGGGAUAACACUGACGCUCAUGCACGAAAGCGUGGGGAGCAAACAGGAUUAGAUACCCUGGUAGUCCACGCCCUAAACGAUGUCAACUAGCUGUUGGGGUCUUCGGGAACCCUUGGGUAGCGCAGCUAACGCGUGAAGUUGACCGCCCUGGGGGAGUACGGUCGCAAGAUUAAAAACUCAAAGGAAUUGACGGGGGUCAUAGCUGUUUCCU